UUUUGGUAAAAUUGGUAUUUUUGGUGUGGUCUUAUGGCUGAGAAACACUAAUUAUUCCCGGUUCAAAUAUCGAUGCUAUCGAUAGAAUGCCAUCGUAUGGGUGGCAACACUAAAUUAAAAAAAAUUAAAAAUUAAAUAAAAUAUAAAAAAAUAGAAAUUCACUACGCCAGUAUCCAAAGCAAUAUUCAUUAAAGAAUUUUAUAUUCCAAAGUAUGGCCAAAUGAAUAAAUAAAAUGAAUGAACACUUGUAUCACAUUAAACAUUUUUGUGUGCAUUCAAUCUGAAUGAGUGAUAAACCAAAUGAAAGCACUAAUCGAACUUCUUCGUUCACUUAAUAUAAAGUGUAGGGCUGAGAAUGCCCGUUCGACGGACACUUGCGUUGCAGGUGUAGCCAGCACAACCUGCGCUAGUGCACUUAUAUGCGGAAUCUUAAGUUGCAAAUCAUUAAAAAAAUCCAAUAUAUUUGAAUUUAAUGGCAAGCGACCAAAUGUUACGUCGAAGUUUUCGAUGACAGCGUAAAUUUUGGCAAGUUUUGAAGAAACAGGAUCUUUUUUGCUUUCUGAAACUGUCUGCGAAUCGUCCAAAAAAGCCGAGAACAGCGUCUUCUCUUCAGAUGAGGAUGCGGUUGAAAGAAUUGACGAGACUGGGGAAGCAAACAUCUCUUCAUGCUCAGGAGUCUCGAGCGCUGGAACAUUUCGUGUUUGUGCCUUGAAUAAUAAAGCGAAAAUAAG
Drosophila ananassae is the source of this 731-nucleotide long non-coding RNA. RefSeq lists it as uncharacterized. Lineage: Eukaryota; Metazoa; Arthropoda; Insecta; Diptera; Drosophilidae. The record is from RefSeq and is a predicted model, not a curated record. The transcript is spliced from 2 exons.